Molecule: long non-coding RNA, 441 nt
Organism: Nerophis ophidion (straightnose pipefish)
Lineage: Eukaryota; Metazoa; Chordata; Actinopteri; Syngnathiformes; Syngnathidae
Exons: 3
Source: RefSeq, a predicted model, not a curated record
UAGGUAUUACUGUACGGCAAAAUGCUUGAAAUGUGAGGCGUGUACUCACUUUUGGAAGGUAGGAAGGCGGUGUACAUGCCUCGAGUGCCCUUGUCAAGUCGUAUAGAGUAUUUAUAUAUACGCAUACAUCUGGCUCCUAUACGGCUCCUUCCAUCAAAUCAGCCCGCCUGCAAGAGCCAGCCAGGCGAGGCGGAGACGUCUGGUGUGCCGCAACCGAUGAAGACAUUCCCAAGCACCGCAUCCCCCCAUGGACGAUGAGCGGAGGAGCGAUCGCAAUUUGUGCACCAGAGCUGUAAACCAAGAGGAAACACUGGCAUUGAACGCCACACAACAACACCCACCCCUCGCCAACCCUGCCUCCCAGCGGGCAUUGACGUGGGCAAGGGGCAUGGAGUGGCACUCUGGAAAAAUAAAAUAUAGGAGCGUCUCACACGCAUCGCA